This 432-nucleotide ribosomal RNA is filed under the name uncultured bacterium. Its description in RNAcentral is "partial 16S ribosomal RNA". It matches the Rfam family "Bacterial small subunit ribosomal RNA", at positions 29 to 507 of the family's 1533-position model. The record is from RNAcentral.
ACGAACGCUGGCGGCAUGCCUCACACAUGCAAGUCGAACGAGACCUUCGGGUCUAGUGGCGCACGGGUGCGUCACGCGUGGGAACCUGCCCUUAGGUUCGGAAUAACUCCCCGAAAGGGGUGCUAAUACCGGAUAAUGUCUUCGGACCAAAGAUUUAUCGCCUUUGGAUGGGCCCGCGUUGGAUUAGCUAGUUGGUAGGGUAAAAGCCUACCAAGGCGACGAUCCAUAGCUGGUCUGAGAGGACGAUCAGCCACACUGGGACUGAGACACGGCCCAGACUCCUACGGGAGGCAGCAGUGGGGAAUAUUGGACAAUGGGCGAAAGCCUGAUCCAGCAAUGCCGCGUGAGUGAUGAAGGCCUUAGGGUUGUAAAGCUCUUUUACCCGGGAUGAUAAUGACAGUACCGGGAGAAUAAGCUCCGGCUAACUCCGUG